RNAcentral lists this ribosomal RNA (482 nucleotides) under uncultured bacterium. Its description in RNAcentral is "partial 16S ribosomal RNA". It matches the Rfam family "Bacterial small subunit ribosomal RNA", at positions 30 to 507 of the family's 1533-position model. The record is from RNAcentral.
AUUGAACGCUGGCGGCAUGCCUUACACAUGCAAGUCGAACGGUAACGGGCCUUCGUGUGCCGACGAGUGGCGAACGGGUGAGUAAUACAUCGGAACGUGCCCGAUCGUGGGGGAUAACGAGUCGAAAGCUUUGCUAAUACCUCAUACGAUCUACGGAUGAAAGCAGGGGACCGCAAGGCCUUGCGCGGGCGUAGCGGCCGAUGGCAGAUUAGGUAGUUGGUGGGAUAAAAGCUUACCAAGCCGACGAUCUGUAGCUGGUCUGAGAGGAUGAUCAGCCACACUGGGACUGAGACACGGCCCAGACUCCUACGGGAGGCAGCAGUGGGGAAUUUUGGACAAUGGGCGAAAGCCUGAUCCAGCAAUGCCGCGUGAAGGAUGAAGGCCUUCGGGUUGUAAACUGCUUUUGUACGGAAAGAAAAGCCUUCUUUUAAUACAGGAGGGUCAUGACGGUACCGUAAGAAUAAGCACCGGCUAACUACGUG